RNAcentral lists this ribosomal RNA (301 nucleotides) under uncultured bacterium. Its description in RNAcentral is "partial 16S ribosomal RNA". It matches the Rfam family "Bacterial small subunit ribosomal RNA", at positions 509 to 807 of the family's 1533-position model. The record is from RNAcentral.
CAGUAGCCGCGGUAAUACGAAGGGUGCAAGCGUUACUCGGAAUUACUGGGCGUAAAGCGUGCGUAGGUGGUUGUUUAAGUCUGCUGUGAAAGCCCUGGGCUCAACCUGGGAAUUGCAGUGGAUACUGGGCAACUAGAGUAAGGUAGAGGAUAGUGGAAUUUCCGGUGUAGCAGUGAAAUGCGUAGAGAUCGGAAGGAACAUCUGUGGCGAAGGCGACUAUCUGGGCCAUUACUGACACUGAGGCACGAAAGCGUGGGGAGCAAACAGGAUUAGAUACCCCAGUAGUCCCUGUCUCUUAUAC